GUGCUUGUUUUGUUAGUACAUAUACCAAAAUGGAAUGAUAUAGAGAAGACAGGCAUGCCUCCUGCAGGAGGAUGACACAUAUUCCAUAUUAUU
RNAcentral lists this small nuclear RNA (93 nucleotides) under Peromyscus maniculatus bairdii (prairie deer mouse). Lineage: Eukaryota; Metazoa; Chordata; Mammalia; Rodentia; Cricetidae. The record is from RNAcentral.